GUGUGCUGCUACUCAAAGGCAACAGAUUUGCGUCUCCUGGGAGCUUGUUAGAAAUGCUGAAUCACAGCCUCAACCUCUCUCCCCAACCACUGAGUCUAGGCCUGCAUUGUAAAAGGAGAUCCCUGUGCACAGUACAGAUCUAGAGCUUUGGAUCCUACCUCGGAUGUGGUCGUCAGGAAAGACCUCUCUAAGGAGGUGGCAUUUUAGCUGAGACCUGUAUAAUGAGAAAGACGCAGCACGUAAAGGUCAGGACAAGGAGUGGCCCAGACCAUGGGAACAGCAAAGCAAGGCAUUCUGCAAUCGGAAUGAACAGUGGAAGACCAGUGUGGUCUGCAGAGAGUGCAAGAGGGACACAGAAGUUAUUGUAGUGCUGAGCCCUGAGCUACCUGAAGUGAAUAAGGAUUAUGCUGAACCGAUGUGGUUUGAGGAUCACCUACCGGGCCCCCCUGCCCAAAUAUAUUUAUCCUCAGGUUGACCAUUUCAAAGGAACCUGUUCACACAAAAACAUGUACACAAAUGUUCAUCACAGAAUUAUUCAUAAUAGCCAAAAGGUGCAAACAACCCAAAUGUCCAUCAACUGAUGAAUAGAUGGACCAAAUAUGGUCUAUCCAUCCAAUGGAAUAUUAUUCAGCUAUAAAGAGGAGUGAAGUGAUUCAUGUGACAAUGCAGAUGAACCUUGAAAAUAUUAUGAGAGAAAUCUGGAAAUUCACUUUCCUCUCACAGCCAAGGAAUUAGAGUGGGAAGUUUUGAUCUAGAUCAAAGUACUACUGCUGGUCUGCCUCAAUUUUUAUUAACCCAAACCUUUGAAGCAUGAGGUUGACAUUAGGUUGCUUCUGAAGCUACUUCAUCCCUAUUCUCCCACAUGUCUAGGUACUUACUGGAUUCCUGUGCAUUUCAUGAUUUUAUGGAAUUUCUCAAUGUAUAUUAUAAAUGAUGGUGUUCAGCUCCACAACCCAGGAAAUUAUUGUGGCUGUGAUAGUUCCUUUACAAUGUUGGAACAUUUCAAUAAUUCUACAUUUACUUGAAAAUGCACAUAUUAUUUUCCAAAUCAGAGAAUAAAUACGCUGUUCAAAUAAUUUCCUCAAAUAUUGAGCUGAUAUUUCAAAGCGAAUGACCCGCGUAAAGGCUUCUAAUAUAUACACCAAGAAAAGCCCCUGGGUAUCUGGAAGUCAACAAAAAGAAACUGAAAUAAGGUUAUUGCAUGUGCUGAAAACCCUUCCCAACUCAUGACUUACAGAUUUGUAGAAAUAUUGCAAUUUGAAAUACUCUGUUGGUUCACAUUAUUGCUUACUUGAGGCAACUAAAUAUUUCUGUAUCCCAAGACCAAUAUGAUGGUAAACCCAGUCCUUUUCUAUUGGAAACUCCAAGUUUUUAGAUCAAAACCUCAGAGUGGAGUCCUAAAAUUGCUUAGCUGUGAAUAUUUUUUAGUGAAGCCGUAUCUUACAACCACAUUUGCUGAACCAUAAGCUUUGUUGAGCUGCGGUCACCCUCCAACUGCCCUGUGGCCUACUUAAUUUAUGCCCAAAGGAAUGCAUAAAUAUGAUAAUCAGAAUGUUCAUAGCCCUAAGACUCAAAUGAUUCUCUAGUUUGUUUACUAGUUUGAGGGUGUGAAACUAUUGUUUUUUUUUACAAGGUAAAAGCAAAUUGCUGACAAAUUUCUUAUGGGAAAAACAAUUUGCUUAAUAUUUCAACUCCAAUGUUACAAAACAGUAAAUUGAGAUGUCGAUCCAUGCAUGUCUUGCACCAACAGUCAGUCUAAUGAGAUUUGAAACGUGAAAGCAUCUUUUUGAUAUUUUACUGAAAUUGACUCUCUUCAAAUCCAAUCUGCAAAGUAUGGCACAGGUUCGAUAUUAAAUUUCCAGAGAACUAACAAGACAUUAUGGGAACUGAAAAUAUUGAAAGGUAUUUUUCUGUUUUUAUUCGUCCCUCAGAUGAGUGGCCACACAUUUUGCCUAUCUGGCAUUAGGCUUGCACCUGUAUAACUUCCGAGGCUGUUAAAAUUAUAAAACAUCGUAAAAUUAAGUUAGCAAAGAAUUCCAAAAUGUUUUUCUGCUACUUGAGAAUAAAUAUACAGAAAUAUCUUCACAAGGAUUCCAGUUAUAGAGAAAGGAUUUCAAAAAUUCAAGAAAAGCCCAGAGGGUACAAGGAAAAUAGAAUUGAUAUCUCAUUCCUAAAAGGAUUGGUUUACUGUUUUCUAUAUAUUCUAACUCUCCUAGAGCGAAAUGAUUUGAAAUACUCCUCUGGUUCAUCCUCCUCUGUUUAGCCACCGUUAUGUUCUAAAAGCUUAUAUUUCAAAGGUAUAAUGUUUAAAGAGAAUAUUAAACAAAACACCAGGCCAGAGAUGAAUGAAAGGAUGGAGAGAAUGUUAGUGUUUCCUUUAUUUCAACUUACUGAAAUAAUUUAAGACAAGGAUUUGGUUCAAAUUACUCAUAUCAUAAAAUUCCAAGUUAAGAG
Molecule: non-coding RNA, 2454 nt
Organism: Equus caballus (horse)
Lineage: Eukaryota; Metazoa; Chordata; Mammalia; Perissodactyla; Equidae
Source: RefSeq, a predicted model, not a curated record